This 374-nucleotide ribosomal RNA is filed under the name uncultured eukaryote. RNAcentral describes it as "partial 18S ribosomal RNA". It matches the Rfam family "Eukaryotic small subunit ribosomal RNA", at positions 592 to 976 of the family's 1831-position model. The record is from RNAcentral.
CAAUAGCGUAUAUUAAAGUUGUUGCAGUUAAAAAGCUCGUAGUUGGAUUUCUGAAUGGAUGCCGAUGCCCGCCUGUUGGCGUGUGCAAAGGUGCCCGUUCAUCCUUCUGUUAAGGUUUCUUAGUAUUCAUUUACUGGUUUCCGGCUCAGAUAUUUUACCUUGAAUAAAUUAGAGUGUUUCAGGCAAGCUUGGUCUUGAAUACAUUAGCAUGGAAUAAUAGAAUAGGACUCUAGAUCCUUUGUUGGUUUCUGGAUUUGGAGUAAUGAUUAAUAGGGAUAGUUGGGGGCAUUAGUAUUUAAUUGUCAGAGGUGAAAUUCUUGGAUUUAUUAAAGACUAACUUAUGCGAAAGCAUUUGCCAAGGAUGUUUNCAUUAG